RNAcentral lists this ribosomal RNA (874 nucleotides) under Triticum aestivum (bread wheat). RNAcentral describes it as "partial small subunit ribosomal RNA". Lineage: Eukaryota; Viridiplantae; Streptophyta; Magnoliopsida; Poales; Poaceae. The record is from RNAcentral.
GAACUAUUUUUCAGAAGGGAAUUUUCCCCGGAAGACCCUCCACCGGGAGUCACCGCUCGUCGGGUCUCCGUCCCCCUCUUUCCCCGCUCCCCCGAAUCAGAACUCCGACCUCCGGAGUCGCGCUCGGCGACCGCGCUGCCCUGCCACCUCGAGCAAGCAAGGGAGAUGUCUCUAAUCCGAAUAGCUUUUUCUUUGGUCCUCCUCCUCGCCGCGGCGGAGUCCGCGGCGGCGACGCGCUCACCGUCGGCCUUCGUGCAGAACGCCAUCUACUCCAACCGCAUCACCAUCUUCUCCAAAUCCUACUGCCCGUACUGUAUGCGUACUAAGCGAAUAUUUAAAGACCUCAAUGAAAAUCCUUACGUUGUUGAACUUGAUCUCCGAGAGGAUGGCCGAGACAUUCAAGGUGUUCUUCUAGACCUAGUUGGGCGCAAUACUGUGCCACAGGUGUUUGUGAAUGGCCACCACGUUGGUGGCUCAGAUGAUACAAAAACUGCUCUUUCAGACGGACAACUUCAGAAACUUCUUGGUCAGAGUCAGUCGCAGUGAUGAUCACCGCCGAAGCUUGGUAUUGCCCAAAACUUGUGAAAUGUCUAACAUGCGGUGUUCCUUAUGGGAGGAAUGGAACCUUAACACUCUUUAGGAAUAUGAACAGAGUGUUGCAGCUCAUGCCAGGAUUUUUUAUUUUUUUGAGUGGAAGUGUUGUGACAAAAAUCCAUGUGCUGGAUUGUAUGGUUUUCUCAAGUGCAUAUACAUUUAUCUGUUGUGCCUGUUUUUAUUACUGUUUGUGUUCAUAAGUACUCUACUUCCUCUUCCAUUUUGUAUCACAUGACUUGGUUUCAGCCUUCAUAUUAUGGAAUUUUAUUGGAAUAUCAUU